CCGCGUCCCCAAGUCAGGCGUGAAC
This 25-nucleotide ribosomal RNA is filed under the name Amentotaxus formosana. Its description in RNAcentral is "partial nuclear 28S ribosomal RNA". Lineage: Eukaryota; Viridiplantae; Streptophyta; Pinopsida; Cupressales; Taxaceae. RNAcentral also lists the same sequence under 3 other names. The record is from RNAcentral.